AAAAACUUGGACUAAUCAAAUACUCUCACCAAUUGGAAAAAUAACAGUGAUAAAAACACUUAUAAUAUCAAAAUUAAACCAUCUAUUCCUGUCCAUACCUAGUCCAAAUAGCACAAAGCUUAAACAUUUUACUGAAAAAAUAUUUUCCUUUAUUUGGGAUAAUAAACCAGAUAAAGUCAAUAGAGACACCUUAUCCAAACCGCACUGUUUAGGAGGACUAAAAAUGAUUAAUAUUGAAAACUACAUAAAAGGUCUUAAACUAACCUGGAUAAGAAGAAUAAAUAGAAAUAAUUCAAAACUAGUAAAAC
RNAcentral lists this long non-coding RNA (308 nucleotides) under Mytilus galloprovincialis (Mediterranean mussel). The record is from RNAcentral. Lineage: Eukaryota; Metazoa; Mollusca; Bivalvia; Mytilida; Mytilidae.